CCUACGGGCGGCAGCAGUGAGGAAUAUUGGUCAAUGGUCGAGAGUCUGAACCAGCCAAGUAGCGUGAAGGAUGACUGCCCUAUGGGUUGUAAACUUCUUUUAUAUGGGAAUAAAACGUUCCACGUGUGGGAUUUUGUAUGUACCAUAUGAAUAAGGAUCGGCUAACUCCGUGCCAGCAGCCGCGGUAAUACGGAGGAUCCGAGCGUUAUCCGGAUUUAUUGGGUUUAAAGGGAGCGUAGGUGGAUUGUUAAGUCAGUUGUGAAAGUUUGCGGCUCAACCGUAAAAUUGCAGUUGAAACUGGCAGUCUUGAGUACAGUAGAGGUGGGCGGAAUUCGUGGUAUAGCGGUGAAAUGCUUAGAUAUCACGAAGAACUCCGAUUGCGAAGGCAGUUCACUGGACUGCAACUGACACUGAGGUUCGAAAGUGUGGGUAUCAAACAGGAUUAGAUACCCCAGUAGUC
This 460-nucleotide ribosomal RNA is filed under the name uncultured bacterium. RNAcentral's name for it is "partial 16S ribosomal RNA". It matches the Rfam family "Bacterial small subunit ribosomal RNA", at positions 338 to 795 of the family's 1533-position model. The record is from RNAcentral.